RNAcentral lists this unclassified non-coding RNA (375 nucleotides) under plant metagenome. RNAcentral describes it as "partial contains 5.8S ribosomal RNA, internal transcribed spacer 2, and large subunit ribosomal RNA". The stretch from base 1 to 107 matches the Rfam family "5.8S ribosomal RNA", at positions 50 to 154 of the family's 154-position model. The record is from RNAcentral.
AAAAUGCGAUACUUGGUGUGAAUUGCAGAAUCCCGUGAACCAUCGAGUUUUUGAACGCAAGUUGCGCCCGAAGCCAUCCGGCUGAGGGCACGCCUGCCUGGGCGUCAAGCAUCGCGUCGCUCCCCACCAUACCUCCCCAACGGGUUGGCAUGGUGUUGGGGGCGGAUAAUGGCCUCCCGUGCUUGUGUUUCGGUUGGCCUAAAUAAGAGUUCCCUUCGGCGGACACACGACUAGUGGUGGUUGAAUAGACCCUCGUCUUUUGUUGCGUGUCGUGAGCUGUAAGGGUAGCCCUCAUCAAAGACCCCAUUGUAUCGUCUUCGGAUGAUGCUUCGACCGCGACCCCAGGUCAGGCGGGACUACCCGCUGAGUUUAAGC